UUGGGCGUAAAGCGAGCGCAGGCGGUUAGAUAAGUCUGAAGUUAAAGGCUGUGGCUUAACCAUAGUACGCUUUGGAAACUGUUUAACUUGAGUGCAAGAGGGGAGAGUGGAAUUCCAUGUGUAGCGGUGAAAUGCGUAGAUAUAUGGAGGAACACCGGUGGCGAAAGCGGCUCUCUGGCUUGUAACUGACGCUGAGGCUCGAAAGCGUGGGGGGCAAACAGGAUUAGAUACCCUGGUAGUCCACGCCGUAAACGAUGAGUGCUAGGUGUUAGACCCUUUCCGGGGUUUAGUGCCGCAGCUAACGCAUUAAGCACUCCGCCUGGGGAGUACGACCGCAAGGUUGAAACUCAAAGGAAUUGACGGGGGCCCGCACAAGCGGUGGAGCAUGUGGUUUAAUUCGAAGCAACGCGAAGAACCUUACCAGGUCUUGACAUCCCUCUGACCGCUCUAGAGAUAGAGUUUUCCUUCGGGACAGAGGUGACAGGUGGUGCAUGGUUGUCGUCAGCUCGUGUCGUGA
Molecule: ribosomal RNA, 517 nt
Filed under: uncultured bacterium
Lineage: Bacteria
Description: bacterial SSU rRNA
Rfam family: Bacterial small subunit ribosomal RNA
Source: RNAcentral